Molecule: ribosomal RNA, 478 nt
Filed under: uncultured organism
Description: partial 16S ribosomal RNA
Rfam family: Bacterial small subunit ribosomal RNA
Source: RNAcentral
GUACACUCCUACGGGAGGCAGCAGUGGGGAAUUUUGGACAAUGGGCGAAAGCCUGAUCCAGCAAUGCCGCGUGAGUGAAGAAGGCCUUCGGGUUGUAAAGCUCUUUUGUCAGGGAAGAAACGGUGAGAGCUAAUAUCUCUUGCUAAUGACGGUACCUGAAGAAUAAGCACCGGCUAACUACGUGCCAGCAGCCGCGGUAAUACGUAGGGUGCAAGCGUUAAUCGGAAUUACUGGGCGUAAAGCGUGCGCAGGCGGUUUUGUAAGUCUGAUGUGAAAUCCCCGGGCUCAACCUGGGAAUUGCAUUGGAGACUGCAAGGCUAGAAUCUGGCAGAGGGGGGUAGAAUUCCACGUGUAGCAGUGAAAUGCGUAGAUAUGUGGAGGAACACCGAUGGCGAAGGCAGCCCCCUGGGUCAAGAUUGACGCUCAUGCACGAAAGCGUGGGGAGCAAACAGGAUUAGAAACCCCUGUAGUCCCAUGA